GACGUAGGGCGCGAGCGUUGUCCGGAUUUAUUGGGCGUAAAGAGCUCGUAGGCGGCUUGUUGCGUCGACUGUGAAAACCCGCGGCUUAACUGCGGGCUUGCAGUUGAUACGGGCAGGCUAGAGUUCGGUAGGGGAGACUGGAAUUCCUGGUGUAGCGGUGAAAUGCGUAGAUAUCGGAAGGAACAUCAGUGGCGAAAGCGACUUCCUGGACCAAUACUGACGCUCAUGUGCGAAAGCGUGGGGAGCAAACAGG
RNAcentral lists this ribosomal RNA (253 nucleotides) under uncultured bacterium. Its description in RNAcentral is "partial 16S ribosomal RNA". It matches the Rfam family "Bacterial small subunit ribosomal RNA", at positions 524 to 776 of the family's 1533-position model. The record is from RNAcentral.